This 497-nucleotide ribosomal RNA is filed under the name uncultured bacterium. RNAcentral describes it as "partial 16S ribosomal RNA". It matches the Rfam family "Bacterial small subunit ribosomal RNA", at positions 28 to 507 of the family's 1533-position model. The record is from RNAcentral.
GAUGAACGCUGGCGGCGUGCCUAAUACAUGCAAGUCGAGCGAACAGACGAGGAGCUUGCUCCUCUGACGUUAGCGGCGGACGGGUGAGUAACACGUGGAUAACCUACCUAUAAGACUGGGAUAACUUCGGGAAACCGGAGCUAAUACCGGAUAAUAUAUUGAACCGCAUGGUUCAAUAGUGAAAGACGGUUUUGCUGUCACUUAUAGAUGGAUCCGCGCCGCAUUAGCUAGUUGGUAAGGUAACGGCUUACCAAGGCGACGAUGCGUAGCCGACCUGAGAGGGUUAUCGGCCACACUGGAACUGAGACACGGUCCAGACUCCUACGGGAGGCAGCAGUAGGGAAUCUUCCGCAAUGGGCGAAAGCCUGACGGAGCAACGCCGCGUGAGUGAUGAAGGUCUUCGGAUCGUAAAACUCUGUUAUUAGGGAAGAACAAAUGUGUAAGUAACUAUGCACGUCUUGACGGUACCUAAUCAGAAAGCCACGGCUAACUACGUG